RNAcentral lists this ribosomal RNA (468 nucleotides) under uncultured bacterium. Its description in RNAcentral is "partial 16S ribosomal RNA". It matches the Rfam family "Bacterial small subunit ribosomal RNA", at positions 28 to 507 of the family's 1533-position model. The record is from RNAcentral.
GACGAACGCUGGCGGCGUGCUUAACACAUGCAAGUCGAACGGAAAGGCCCUGCUUUUGUGGGGUGCUCGAGUGGCGAACGGGUGUGUAACACGUGAGUAACCUGCCCUUGACUUUGGGAUAACUUCAGGAAACUGGGCCAAAUCCCGCAUGGACUCCCCGGUUCCCUGGUGGGGUUGGAAAAUUUUCGGCGUUUGGGGAUGGACUCGCGGCUUAUCAGCUUGUUGGUGGGGUAGUGGCUUACCAAGGCUUUGACGGGUAGCCGGCCUGAGAGGGUGACCGGCCACAUUGGGACUGAGAUACGGCCCAGACUCCUACGGGAGGCAGCAGUGGGGAAUAUUGCACAAUGGGCGGAAGCCUGAUGCAGCAACGCCGCGUGCGGGAUGACGGCCUUCGGGUUGUAAACCGCUUUCGCCUGUGACGAAGCGUGAGUGACGGUAAUGGGUAAAGAAGCACCGGCUAACUACGUG